GGGGCUGUGACUCAGUGGAGGAACCUUUGCUUUACAUUCAAAAGGUCCCAGGUUCAAUUCCCGGCAUCUCUG
RNAcentral lists this transfer RNA (72 nucleotides) under Sphaerodactylus townsendi. RNAcentral's name for it is "tRNA-Val". The record is from RNAcentral. Lineage: Eukaryota; Metazoa; Chordata; Lepidosauria; Squamata; Sphaerodactylidae.